This 173-nucleotide ribosomal RNA is filed under the name uncultured Ascomycota. RNAcentral's name for it is "partial 18S ribosomal RNA". The record is from RNAcentral. Lineage: Eukaryota; Fungi; Ascomycota.
GCCUCUAAUCAUUCGCUUUACCUCAUAAAACUGAAAAACGUUACUGCUAUCCUGAGGGAAACUUCGGCAGGAACCAGCUACUAGAUAGUUCGAUUAGUCUUUCGCCCCUAUGCCCAAAUUUGACGAUCGAUUUGCACGUCAGAACCGCUGCGAGCCUCCACCAGAGUUUCCUC